Long non-coding RNA from Thalassophryne amazonica, 150 nucleotides. RefSeq lists it as uncharacterized. NCBI's taxonomy places the organism in Eukaryota, Metazoa, Chordata, Actinopteri, Batrachoidiformes, Batrachoididae. The record is from RefSeq and is a predicted model, not a curated record. The transcript is spliced from 4 exons.
AACUGUUUGUUUUUGCAAACAAUGGAGCAAAACACUUUGGAUGUUGGAAAUGGUAUCAUUACAUAGUUUGUCCAGCAGGUGACGUCAAGCCUCAAUUAUAUUUCUUUGUCAUAAGUGUUUGAUAAUAAAGUGUUAAGAAUCAUUGCCAUU